RNAcentral lists this ribosomal RNA (496 nucleotides) under uncultured bacterium. RNAcentral describes it as "partial 16S ribosomal RNA". It matches the Rfam family "Bacterial small subunit ribosomal RNA", at positions 29 to 507 of the family's 1533-position model. The record is from RNAcentral.
AUGAACGCUGGCGGUGUGCCUAAUACAUGCAAGUCGAGCGAACAGACGAGGAGCUUACUCCUCUGACGUUAGCGGCGGACGGGUGAGUAACACGUGGAUAACCUACCUAUAAGACUGGGAUAACUUCGGGAAACCGGAGCUAAUACCGGAUAACAUGUUGAACCGCAUGGUUCAACAGUGAAAGACGGUCUUGCUGUCACUUAUAGAUGGAUCCGCGUCGCAUUAGCUAGUUGGUAAGGUAACGGCUUACCAAGGCAACGAUGCGUAGCCGACCUGAGAGGGUGAUCGGCCACACUGGAACUGAGACACGGUCCAGACUCCUACGGGAGGCAGCAGUAGGGAAUCUUCCGCAAUGGGCGAAAGCCUGACGGAGCAACGCCGCGUGAGUGAAGAAGGUCUUCGGAUCGUAAAACUCUGUUAUUAGGGAAGAACAAAUGUGUAAGUAACUAUGCACGUCUUGACGGUACCUAAUCAGAAAGCCACGGCUAGCUACGUG